UGUUAAAAUAUUUAUUUAUUUUUAUUGUUAAAAACUGGCGUAAGUAAUGGAAUAACUAAACAAUUGUUAACGGUAGAAAUAGAUAAAUUUUUUUAACA
RNAcentral lists this microRNA precursor (98 nucleotides) under Gossypium arboreum. RNAcentral's name for it is "MIR7502 microRNA precursor family". It matches the Rfam family "MIR7502 microRNA precursor family". The record is from Rfam by way of RNAcentral. Lineage: Eukaryota; Viridiplantae; Streptophyta; Magnoliopsida; Malvales; Malvaceae.